AAUAGAUACCCCGGUAGUCCACGCCGUAAACGAUGAGUGCUAAGUGUUAGAGGGUUUCCGCCCUUUAGUGCUGAAGUUAACGCAUUAAGCACUCCGCCUGGGGAGUACGGUCGCAAGACUGAAACUCAAAGGAAUUGACGGGGGGCCCGGCACAAGCGGUGGAGCAUGUGGUUUAAUUCGAAGCAACGCGAAGAACCUUACCAGGUCUUGACAUCCUCUGACAACCCUAGAGAUAGGGCUUUCCCUUCGGGGACAGAGUGACAGGUGGUGCAUGGUUGUCGUCAGCUCGUGUCGUGAGAUGUUGGGUUAAGUCCCGCAACGAGCGCAACCCUUGAUCUUAGUUGCCAGCAUUCAGUUGGGCACUCUAAGGUGACUGCCGGUGACAAACCGGAGGAAGGUGGGGAUGACGUCAAAUCAUCAUGCCCCUUAUGACCUGGGCUACACACGUGCUACAAUGGACGGUACAAAGAGUCGCAAGACCGCGAGGUGGAGCUAAUCUCAUAAAACCGUUCUCAGUUCGGAUUGUAGG
This 529-nucleotide ribosomal RNA is filed under the name uncultured bacterium. RNAcentral describes it as "bacterial SSU rRNA". It matches the Rfam family "Bacterial small subunit ribosomal RNA", at positions 777 to 1304 of the family's 1533-position model. The record is from RNAcentral.